GAUGAACGCUAGCGAUAGGCUUAACACAUGCAAGUCGAGGGGCAGCAUGGUCUUAGCUUGCUAAGAUUGAUGGCGACCGGCGCACGGGUGCGUAACGCGUAUGCAACUUGCCUCACAGAGGGGGAUAACCCGUCGAAAGACGGACUAAUACCGCGUACACUCUAUGUUGGGCAUCCAAUGUAGAGGAAAUGAAAUUCGCUGUGAGAUAGGCAUGCGUCCCAUUAGCUAGUUGGUGAGGUAACGGCUCACCAAGGCGACGAUGGGUAGGGGAACUGAGAGGUUGAACCCCCACACUGGUACUGAGACACGGACCAGACUCCUACGGGAGGCAGCAGUGAGGAAUAUUGGUCAAUGGGCGAGAGCCUGAACCAGCCAAGUCGCGUGAAGGAUGACUGUCUUAUGGAUUGUAAACUUCUUUUAUACGGGAAUAACAAGAGCCACGUGUGGCUCCCUGCAUGUACCGUAUGAAUAAGCAUCGGCUAACUCCGUGCCAGCAGCCGCGGUAAUACGGAGGAUGCGAGCGUUUUUCCGGAUUUAUUGGGGUUUUAAAGGGUGCGUAGGCGGCCUGUUUAAGUCAGCGGUGAAAUCUAGGAGCUUAACUCCUAAAUUGCCAUUGAUACUGGCGGGCUUGAGUGUAGAUGAGGUAGGCGGAAUGCGUGGUGUACCGGUGGAAUGCUCAGAUUUUAGGAAAAAACCAUGGGCGAAGGCAGGCCACUGUGCCCGCCCUGAUCUCAGGAGCGAAAACGUGGGGGAGACAAACAGGAUAAACCCCCGUGUAGUCAAAGGGAGAAUUCACAGUGGGCUGCACCCCGGGGGGAUCUCACUAUGUUCUAGAGCGGCCGCCCCGGGGGGAGUUCUAAAUCUCUCUAUUAGUGAGUUGUAUUUACGCCCGCUCACUGUCGCUCUUUAUAUCAAAAA
This 918-nucleotide ribosomal RNA is filed under the name uncultured Enterobacteriaceae bacterium. Its description in RNAcentral is "bacterial SSU rRNA". It matches the Rfam family "Bacterial small subunit ribosomal RNA". Lineage: Bacteria; Pseudomonadati; Pseudomonadota; Gammaproteobacteria; Enterobacterales; Enterobacteriaceae. The record is from RNAcentral.